AGUGAACGCUGGCGGUAGGCCUAACACAUUCAAGUCGAACGGCAGCACAGGAGAGCUUGCUCUCUGGGUGGCGAGUGGCGGACGGGUGAGGAAUACAUCGGAAUCUACUCUGUCGUGGGGGAUAACGUAGGGAAACUUACGCUAAUACCGCAUACGACCUACGGGUGAAAGCAGGGGAUCUUCGGACCUUGCGCGAUUGAAUGAGCCGAUGUCGGAUUAGCUAGUUGGCGGGGUAAAGGCCCACCAAGGCGACGAUCCGUAGCUGGUCUGGGAGGAUGAUCAGCCACACUGGAACUGAGACACGGUCCAGACUCCUACGGGAGGCAGCAGUGGGGAAUAUUGGACAAUGGGCGCAAGCCUGAUCCAGCCAUACCGCGUGGGUGAAGAAGGCCUUCGGGUUGUAAAGCCCUUUUGUUGGGAAAGAAAUCCAGCUGGCUAAUACCCGGUUAGGAUGACGGUACCCAAAGAAUAAGCACCGGCUAACUUCGUGCCAGCAGCCGCCGUAA
RNAcentral lists this ribosomal RNA (506 nucleotides) under uncultured bacterium. RNAcentral describes it as "partial 16S ribosomal RNA". It matches the Rfam family "Bacterial small subunit ribosomal RNA", at positions 29 to 523 of the family's 1533-position model. The record is from RNAcentral.